AUGAGGAUUUAACUUAGACAUAGCGCUUCGGUAUCUAUGGCAUGUAAUCAUACACACUUUUCGACCAUCACGAUUCAAAAGAAUUGGUGGAAGUAUGGCGAUGAAUGCCCCAAUAUUUAGAAACUCUUUGAAGAGUACGCAGGUACAAUGGCAUGAAUAACAUGCCAAAAAUCCGCGAGAGCUCACUUUGAUUGAACAAUCAUGUGG
Molecule: small RNA, 207 nt
Filed under: Histoplasma capsulatum
Lineage: Eukaryota; Fungi; Ascomycota; Eurotiomycetes; Onygenales; Ajellomycetaceae
Also listed under: 1 other name
Description: hypothetical RNA
Source: RNAcentral